AUAUAAGAAAUGAUAAAUCAUAUAUGAUUUCGGCUCAUAAUUAGGUGUUAUAAUCACCCUUAUAUU
Molecule: transfer RNA, 66 nt
Filed under: Rondeletiola minor
Lineage: Eukaryota; Metazoa; Mollusca; Cephalopoda; Sepiida; Sepiolidae
Description: tRNA-Arg
Source: RNAcentral